AGUGAACGCUGGCGGUAGGCCUAACACAUGCAAGUCGAACGGCAGCACAGUAAGCGCUUGCUCUUACGGGUGGCGAGUGGCGGACGGGUGAGGAAUACAUCGGAAUCUACUUUUUCGUGGGGGAUAACGUAGGGAAACUUACGCUAAUACCGCAUACGACCUACGGGUGAAAGCAGCGGAUCUUCGGACCUUGCGCGAUUGAAUGAGCCGAUGUCGGAUUAGCUAGUUGGCGGGGUAAAGGCCCACCAAGGCGACGAUCCGUAGCUGGUCUGAGAGGAUGAUCAGCCACACUGGAACUGAGACACGGUCCAGACUCCUACGGGAGGCAGCAGUGGGGAAUAUUGGACAAUGGGCGCAAGCCUGAUCCAGCCAUACCGCGUGGGUGAAGAAGGCCUUCGGGUUGUAAAGCCCUUUUGUUGGGAAAGAAAAGCAGCAGGUUAAUACCCCGCUGUUCUGACGGUACCCAAAGAAUAAGCACCGGCUAACUUCGUG
RNAcentral lists this ribosomal RNA (492 nucleotides) under uncultured bacterium. Its description in RNAcentral is "partial 16S ribosomal RNA". It matches the Rfam family "Bacterial small subunit ribosomal RNA", at positions 29 to 507 of the family's 1533-position model. The record is from RNAcentral.